Non-coding RNA from Paramuricea clavata, 1158 nucleotides. Lineage: Eukaryota; Metazoa; Cnidaria; Anthozoa; Malacalcyonacea; Plexauridae. The record is from the annotation of a GenBank genome assembly.
CCUUUAACAACUGUCGAGAAAAUUUUAUUUACAAUAAUAUAUUCGCGUGAACAAAGCAAUAACACUCACCCCGCUUAGGCGAGCCAGCCCGGGUCAUUGCAUUUACAUGGAAAUUGCCAUAAAAAUUGCCAGCCCGAGAUCUCGCUAGAGCAUGGUUUCCAUAUGGUCUUAAUGAAUGGUCGUAAAAAUAGAGUCACGAUCUUUCUCAACGGCCAGUUUAUAAUAGUUUAUACCUGUAAACCACAUAUAAAUCAUAAGUAUUCUCUACUUAUAAUCACUCCGCGUAUUUUCAGUUCUAAAAUGUUGUAUUUGGGCUGAUGAGAAAGAUCGUGACUCAAUCUUUACGACCGUUACUACCAUAUGGAAACCAGGUUUAGACGGGCCAGCUCGGUUCCCAUAAACGCAAAAUAAAAUUUAGUAGGAAAUAAUAACAAAGGCGGCCGGGAUCCCGCCUAAACCGGGCCAGCUCUGGUAUCUGUAAUUAUAUGGAGCGAGCCAGCCCGGGUAUCGCCCAAAAAAUACACACGUUUUUUUUAAACUACACCACAUAGUCACAGAAUAGACACACACAGAAGUCCGACUUCAUGGUUUUGGCCAUACCAAUCAGUAUCCCCAUGUACGUUCCUAACCAGUGCUCUUAAGAGUAGAAUUCACCUCCCCCCCGAAGAUAUUCAAAAUGGUAGACAUUCAGGGAGGUGACUACUUCUUGUACGGAAAAGGUUAUUUCGCCGGCCUCAGAAUGACAAAACGUAACAAAGCAUCGGUUUUACAAACACUCACCCUAUUCCAAACACCAACUCUAACCCUAACCCGAACUCUAACCCUAGUUUGUUUCUAAACCAAUCUUGAAGAAAAAAGUUUUGACGAAAUGUCAUUCUGAGGUCAGCGAAAUAACUUCUUCCCUCUUGUGCGCGCACUGGCUAGGAACAUGGGGAGUACAUCUUGAUGACGAGCGGUAGUUUACAUAGUAUAGUGUUUAUAUAUUCUAUGAAUUUGGUGGCCACAGAGUACCCGAGUAUGAAUGUCUAAUUUCUUGCCCAGGUGCACUGCUGUAUGUUUUGCUGGAAUACGCUCUGCGACGCGUUCUCUCAUUGGUCAAAGUGUUGCCAUGGUUACUUGAGGUUAACCGGGAAUUUGAGGUCGGCGGUAGCAAAGUAG